GAUGAACGCUGGCUACAGGCUUAACACAUGCAAGUCGAGGGGAAACGACGGGGAAGCUUGCUUCCCCGGGCGUCGACCGGCGCACGGGUGAGUAACGCGUAUCCAACCUGCCUCUGACUGAGGGAUAACCCGUCGAAAGUCGGCCUAAUACCUCAUGGCAUCGUCUGCGGGCAUCCAACGACGAUUAAAGAUUUCAUCGGUCAGAGAUGGGGAUGCGUCUGAUUAGCUUGUUGGCGGGGUAACGGCCCACCAAGGCGACGAUCAGUAGGGGUUCUGAGAGGAAGGUCCCCCACAUUGGAACUGAGACACGGUCCAAACUCCUACGGGAGGCAGCAGUGAGGAAUAUUGGUCAAUGGGCGAGAGCCUGUACCAGCCAAGUAGCGUGCAGGAUGACGGCCCUAUGGGUUGUAAACUGCUUUUAUGCGGGGAUAAAGUGAGGGACGUGUCCUUCAUUGCAGGUACCGCAUGAAUAAGGACCGGCUAAUUCCGUG
Molecule: ribosomal RNA, 491 nt
Filed under: uncultured bacterium
Lineage: Bacteria
Description: partial 16S ribosomal RNA
Rfam family: Bacterial small subunit ribosomal RNA
Source: RNAcentral